GAGCUCACUUGGCCUUCUCUCUUGUCGCACCCAGUUUUGAUAACAAAACCAAGUACUCAAAUAUGUGCGCCUAGGAUGUCCAAACACACAUAUUAUCACAAAUUGUAAAUAUAUCAAAGUAAAGUACUUAUUACAUCACAUAUUCAUCAUAAACAUCUCACAUAGUCUUGCUCACUAGCAACAUUAUUACAUAAAGCGGAAAGCUAAGCCCUUGCUGCCACAGGGACACCAACUGGUGAACACCAGCACUCUCGAAGUCCUGGACAUCUUCAGGGAACUCCUC
This 283-nucleotide long non-coding RNA is filed under the name Sorghum bicolor (sorghum). RNAcentral's name for it is "long non-coding RNA (SBIC_LNC008467)". The record is from RNAcentral. Lineage: Eukaryota; Viridiplantae; Streptophyta; Magnoliopsida; Poales; Poaceae.